This 472-nucleotide ribosomal RNA is filed under the name uncultured bacterium. Its description in RNAcentral is "partial 16S ribosomal RNA". It matches the Rfam family "Bacterial small subunit ribosomal RNA", at positions 28 to 507 of the family's 1533-position model. The record is from RNAcentral.
GACGAACGCUGGCGGCGUGCUUAACACAUGCAAGUCGAACGCUGAAGCUUGGUGCUUGCACUGGGUGGAUGAGUGGCGCACGGGUGAGUAAUACGUGAGUAACCUGCCCUUGACUCUGGGAUAAGCCUGGGAAACUGGGUCUAAUACUGGAUACGACAUGUCACCGCAUGGUGGUGUGUGGAAAGGGUUUUACUGGUUUUGGAUGGGCUCACGGCCUAUCAGCUUGUUGGUGGGGUAAUGGCUCACCAAGGCGACGACGGGUAGCCGGCCUGAGAGGGUGACCGGCCACACUGGGACUGAGACACGGCCCAGACUCCUACGGGAGGCAGCAGUGGGGAAUAUUGCACAAUGGGCGAAAGCCUGAUGCAGCGACGCCGCGUGAGGGAUGACGGCCUUCGGGUUGUAAACCUCUUUCAGCACGGAAGAAGCGAAAGUGACGGUACGUGCAGAAGAAGCGCCGGCUAACUACGUG